GGCCCACCAAGGCGACGAUCCGUAGCUGGUCUGAGAGGAUGAUCAGCCACACUGGAACUGAGACACGGUCCAGACUCCUACGGGAGGCAGCAGUGGGGAAUAUUGGACAAUGGGCGCAAGCCUGAUCCAGCCAUACCGCGUGGGUGAAGAAGGCCUUCGGGUUGUAAAGCCCUUUUGUUGGGAAAGAAAUCCAGCCGGCUAAUACCUGGUUGGGAUGACGGUACCCAAAGAAUAAGCACCGGCUAACUUCGUGCCAGCAGCCGCGGUAAUACGAAGGGUGCAAGCGUUACUCGGAAUUACUGGGCGUAAAGCGUGCGUAGGUGGUUGUUUAAGUCUGUUGUGAAAGCCCUGGG
Molecule: ribosomal RNA, 353 nt
Filed under: Stenotrophomonas sp. RB91A
Lineage: Bacteria; Pseudomonadati; Pseudomonadota; Gammaproteobacteria; Lysobacterales; Lysobacteraceae
Description: bacterial SSU rRNA
Rfam family: Bacterial small subunit ribosomal RNA
Source: RNAcentral